This 353-nucleotide transfer-messenger RNA is filed under the name Erysipelotrichaceae. RNAcentral's name for it is "RUG521 sp900319675 Standard tmRNA". It matches the Rfam family "transfer-messenger RNA". Rfam says of the family: Bacterial tmRNA, also known as 10Sa RNA or SsrA, is named for its dual tRNA and mRNA-like properties. Its role is to liberate the mRNA from a stalled ribosome. RNAcentral also lists the same sequence under 1 other name. The record is from RNAcentral. Lineage: Bacteria; Bacillati; Bacillota; Erysipelotrichia; Erysipelotrichales.
GGGGUCGUCUUGGUUUCGACAGGGCGUAGUUGGAUUCGGACUGCAGCGGAGUUAUUCGCCUAACGGAUAAACCUAAAAAUAACUGGCAACAGUAAUUAUUCAUUCGCUGCUUAAUAGCCUGACGUAAGGCUCGCAGCCGUCAGCCAUUGUUUAGCUUCUGGGCUAUGGACUGGUGUAAAAGACAGAAGAUAAGUACUGAUGAUUUCUGAUAAAUCAGUAACGAAAACCCAUCAGGAAAACAGAGACUACAUCUUGUUCAUCAUGAGGUUUCUGUUAAUGAGAUGAACUAAACUGUAGAGGUCUGAAUGUGGGACACGUUUUGGACAGGGGUUCGAUUCCCCUCGGCUCCACCA